UCCAAGAUAUCAGGAGUAUUUUUCCCACACCCCCUGCCUUGGUGAAUUUUCAAAAUAUCAGGAGUAUUUUUCCCACACCCCUCUGCCUUGGUGAAUUUCCAAGAUAUCAGGAGUAUUUUUCUCACACCCCCUGCCUUGGUGAAUUUUCAAAAUAUCAAGAGUCUUUUUCCCACACCCCCUGCCUUGGUGAAUUUUCAAAAAAGUCGACUUCUACUAGAAGUCGAGUUCUUAUGUUGAUUUUUCAGGAAGUUGAUCUCUUGUGCUGAUUUCCGAAAAAGUUGAGCUCUUGUGUCGACCUCUGAAAAAGUCGAGCUCUUGUGUAGAC
RNAcentral lists this long non-coding RNA (325 nucleotides) under Zostera marina. RNAcentral's name for it is "long non-coding RNA (ZMAR_LNC004841)". The record is from RNAcentral. Lineage: Eukaryota; Viridiplantae; Streptophyta; Magnoliopsida; Alismatales; Zosteraceae.